This 29-nucleotide non-coding RNA is filed under the name Mus musculus (house mouse). The record is from RNAcentral. Lineage: Eukaryota; Metazoa; Chordata; Mammalia; Rodentia; Muridae.
UGGUAACUCAGAUGGACUGCGUGUGGGAA